This 1537-nucleotide long non-coding RNA is filed under the name Vigna radiata. Its description in RNAcentral is "long non-coding RNA (VRAD_LNC013382)". The record is from RNAcentral. Lineage: Eukaryota; Viridiplantae; Streptophyta; Magnoliopsida; Fabales; Fabaceae.
AAGCAAGUGUUUCACUCAAUCACUCAAGUGUUUAAGGUUACACUCCAUUCUCUAUUGUUCACAAGUCAUAUGAAACAAAAUUGUCAUUCAUCUCAAACAAUCAACAUCUUUUCAUGCAAAUGUCAACAAAAGGACUUUUCCAAGCUUGUAAUGAGGUUGGGCUAACAAGAAAAAUUGGUUUUUCUAGAAUGCAAAAUCCUUGAGUCAAGAGAGCUAACAAGACAUUCAAUAUUUACGCACAACUCUCUCUCACCAAAAUUUCUCAUUCCCAACUUCUUCCCUUUUCUUUUUCUUUUUCAUUGAGCUCAUCUUCAUGCUUUUCUUCUUUACUUUUCUUUUUCUCAUGAAUUUUUCUCUUUUCACAACAAUUCAGCUCAAUGCCUUUUACUUGCAUUUUCAAUUUUCCCCCGUACAACCCCAAACUUGAACCUUUUCAUCUCAUACAAUUAAGCUCAUCCCAAUUCAAGGUAAAGAGUUUCAAAACAAGGGUUCACAUCCUGUUUAAGGCUAAGGUUCAAAAAGGGUAUAAUAUUUCAAACACUUUGGGUGAAAAUUUGGCUAGAGAAGGGUUUUCAACAAUGGCCUUGAUCAUAUGACAUUUACAUGCAAUUCAAUCAAUCAUCAAGGUUAAGGCAAUAUCAUCCAUGUUUUCCUGUGAACAAUACAUGCAACAAUAAAAACUCUGGAGCUCAAAAUCUUACACACAUGCUUCCUCACACAAAAUUCAUUCAUACACCAUGCCUAGCAUCAUGACCACAAUCAUAAAUUCAUCACCCAUCUAUUUCCCGAAUAUCAUCANGCAUUAUAACUCAAUUUUCUUUCACAUCAAAUCAUCAUCAAAUAGAUCCAUCAUGCACAUCAGCUAGUCAAACAUUUUCAGAACAAGUAAUAAAGCCAAGAAUACACACCAAAAUUAAAAUUCAACCUAUUCUAUGAACUUAAAAUGCAAAAGUGUAAGAAGAAAUCUAGGUUGCCUUCUAGUAGCGCUUGUUUAACGUCACGAGCCUGACCCAAACCUGGUUGGCACUCGUCAGUAAGUGCACCUCCUUCCACCACCCAUCAGUAGGUGUACCUUCCGGAUAUCCUUCAGUGGAUACCAAAAAUUUAGCAUCCCUCAGUAGAUGCUACCCAAAAAUUGUUCCAAAAAUCAAAUAAUUACAAGUUUUGUUUUUUUUUUGUUUUUUUUUUUUAAAAAAAAAUAAACCUAGACUAAAAAUGAAAAAUAAAAAAAAUGUUUUACAACAAUUGGGAUGACCCCAACAAACACCAAUCAGUAGGUGUUGAAAUUCUUCUCGCUUGAUAUUCUUUUCUUUUUCUUCUUCCUACUGAAUUCCUUCAUAAAGUUGACAACACCAAGCACAUGUUUCCAUGUAUCAAUCAUAGGAACUUUAAUCUCCAAUUUCUUGAAGAUCUCCAUAAAGUACUUGAACUUCUUUUCCUUCCUAUGAUUCUUCUUUUGACGAUGAAGAGGCUUUUCAUAUGAUCUUUUCUUCUUUCCUCUCCUCCUCUUUUUCUUAAUUUUCUCCUUCCUUAACNN